GCCCGGAUGGAGAAAUGGGUAGACUCAACGGACUUAAAAUCCGUCACGCGGUAUCGCGUAUGCCGGUUCGAGUCCGGCUCCGGGCACCA
Molecule: transfer RNA, 89 nt
Filed under: Chromobacterium amazonense
Lineage: Bacteria; Pseudomonadati; Pseudomonadota; Betaproteobacteria; Neisseriales; Chromobacteriaceae
Description: tRNA-Leu
Rfam family: tRNA
About the family: Transfer RNA (tRNA) molecules are approximately 80 nucleotides in length. Their secondary structure includes four short double-helical elements and three loops (D, anti-codon, and T loops). Further hydrogen bonds mediate the characteristic L-shaped molecular structure. tRNAs have two regions of fundamental functional importance: the anti-codon, which is responsible for specific mRNA codon recognition, and the 3' end, to which the tRNAs corresponding amino acid is attached (by aminoacyl-tRNA synthetases). tRNAs cope with the degeneracy of the genetic code in two manners: having more than one tRNA (with a specific anti-codon) for a particular amino acid; and 'wobble' base-pairing, i.e. permitting non-standard base-pairing at the 3rd anti-codon position.
Source: RNAcentral